UCCGGCUUGUCACCGGCAGUUUCCUUAGAGUGCCCAACUCAAUGAUGGCAACUAGAAGCAGGGGUUGCGCUCGUUGCGGCACUUAAGCCAACACCUCACGGCACGAGCUGACGACAGCCAUGCAGCACCUGUGCUAGCCCCUUUCGGACACGGGCUUUCACCCGCUUUAACUAGCAUGUCAAGCCUAGGUAAGGUUCUUCGCGUUGCAUCGAAUUAAGCCACAUGCUCCGCCGCUUGUGCGGGCCCCCGUCAAUUCCUUUGAGUUUCAUCGUUGCCGACGUACUCCCCAGGUGGCAUACUUACUGCGUUAACUGCGGCACCGGCCCCAACGGGCCAACACCUAGUAUGCAUCGUUUACAGCGUGGACUAC
RNAcentral lists this unclassified non-coding RNA (370 nucleotides) under uncultured bacterium. RNAcentral describes it as "contains 16S-23S intergenic spacer region". The record is from RNAcentral.